GGGAUUGUGGCUCAGUGGUAGAGUGCUUGCCUAGCAUGCAUGAGGCAACAGGUUCAAUCCUCAGUACCA
Molecule: transfer RNA, 69 nt
Filed under: Marmota marmota marmota (Alpine marmot)
Lineage: Eukaryota; Metazoa; Chordata; Mammalia; Rodentia; Sciuridae
Also listed under: 4 other names
Rfam family: tRNA
About the family: Transfer RNA (tRNA) molecules are approximately 80 nucleotides in length.
Source: Rfam by way of RNAcentral